RNAcentral lists this unclassified non-coding RNA (285 nucleotides) under fungal sp. RNAcentral's name for it is "partial contains 5.8S ribosomal RNA, internal transcribed spacer 2, and large subunit ribosomal RNA". The record is from RNAcentral. Lineage: Eukaryota; Fungi.
CGCACCUUGCGCUCCUUGGUAUUCCGAGGAGCAUGCCUGUUUGAGUGUCUUGUUAAUCAUCAACCUUUGCUCGCUUUUGCGAGUGAAGGCUUGGAUUUGGGGCUGCCGGCGUUCGCGUCGGCUUCCCUUGAAUGCAUUAGUGUUGGCUCCGGCGAACCUUGGGUGUAAUAAUAUUUCACUCUCCGGUUGGCUUUUGGAGGUUCCGAUGCUUAUAACCGUCCCUUCCGGGACAAUCACACUUUGACUUUUGACCUCAAAUCAGGUAGGACUACCCGCUGAACUUAA